RNAcentral lists this ribosomal RNA (1331 nucleotides) under metagenome. Its description in RNAcentral is "bacterial LSU rRNA". It matches the Rfam family "Bacterial large subunit ribosomal RNA", at positions 1612 to 2925 of the family's 2925-position model. The record is from RNAcentral.
CAAAAACUUCGUAGUGAGUGUUAGAGCCGCCCGUACCCCAAACCGACACAGGUGAUCAGGUAGAGAAUACCAAGGCGAUCGAGUGAACCAUGGUUAAGGAACUCGGCAAAAUGCCCCCGUAACUUCGGGAGAAGGGGGGCCGGAUGCGUUACAUGGCUUGCCCAUGGAAGCGUUGAUGGCCGCAGAGACCAGGCCCAAGCGACUGUUUACUAAAAACACAGGUCCGUGCGAAGAAGUAAUUCGAUGUAUACGGACUGACGCCUGCCCGGUGCUGGAACGUUAAGGGGACAGGUUAGCUGGUUUAGGCCGGCGAAGCUUUGAACUUAAGCGCCAGUAAACGGCGGUGGUAACUAUAACCAUCCUAAGGUAGCGAAAUUCCUUGUCGGGUAAGUUCCGACCUGCACGAAUGGCGUAACGACUUGGGCGCUGUCUCAACCAUGGACUCGGCGAAAUUGCAUUACGAGUAAAGAUGCUCGUUACGCGCAGCAGGACGGAAAGACCCCGGGACCUUUACUACAACUUGGUAUUGGUGGUCGGUACAACUUGUGUAGGAUAGGUGGGAGACUGUGAAAUCCGGACGCCAGUUCGGGUGGAGUCAUCGUUGAAAUACCACUCUGGUUGUUCUGGCUGUCUAACUUCGGUCCAUUAUCUGGAUCAGGGACAGUGCCUGGUGGGUAGUUUGACUGGGGCGGUCGCCUCCUAAAAGGUAACGGAGGCGCUCAAAGGUUCCCUCAGCCUGGUUGGCAAUCAGGUGUCGAGUGUAAGUGCACAAGGGAGCUUGACUGUGAGACAGACAUGUCGAGCAGGGACGAAAGUCGGAACUAGUGAUCCGGCGGUGGCAUGUGGGAGCACCGUCGCUCAACGGAUAAAAGGUACCCCGGGGAUAACAGGCUGAUCUUCCCCAAGAGUCCAUAUCGACGGGAUGGUUUGGCACCUCGAUGUCGGCUCGUCGCAUCCUGGGGCUGGAGUAGGUCCCAAGGGUUGGGCUGUUCGCCCAUUAAAGCGGCACGCGAGCUGGGUUUAGAACGUCGUGAGACAGUUCGGUCCCUAUCCGCUGCGCGCGCAGGAGACUUGAGAAGGGCUGCCCCUAGUACGAGAGGACCGGGGUGGACGAACCUCUGGUGUGCCAGUUGUUCCGCCAGGAGCACGGCUGGUUGGCUACGUUCGGGAGUGAUAACCGCUGAAAGCAUCUAAGCGGGAAGCACGCUUCAAGAUGAGGUCUCCCACCGAGUUAAUCGGGUAAGGCCCCCAGUAGACCACUGGUUGAUAGGCCAGAGGUGGAAGCGCCGUAAGGUGUGGAGCUGACUGGUACUAAUAGGCCGAGGGCUUGC